AUUUAUAUUAAAUGGCUGCAGUAUUUUGACUGUACAAAGGUAGCAUAAUCAUUUGUCUUUUAAUUGAAGACUAGUAUGAAUGGUUGGAUGAAAAAUAUACUUUCUUAUUUUUAUACCAAAAAAUUGAUUUUUUAUUUAAAAAGAUAAAAUGAUGUUAAAGGACGAGAAGACCCUAUAGAACUUUAUUUUUAUAAUAUAUUUACUUUUUAUAAAAUUAUAGGUUAAUAUAUGAUUAUUAAUUUUGUUGGGGUGACAAAAAAAAUUUAAUAACUUUUUUUUAUAUAAACAUUUAUGUAUGUGAUUAUGAUCCUAUAUUAUAGAUUAAAAGACUAAGUUACCUUAGGGAUAACAGCGUUAUUUCUCUGGAGAGAACAUAUCGAUGGGGAAGUUUGCGACCUCGAUGUUGGAUUAAAAUAAGUUGCAGGAGUAGAAUAUUGUUUUACUAGGUCUGUUCGACCUUUAAUUUUUUACAUGAUUAGUUUUUAAC
Molecule: ribosomal RNA, 487 nt
Filed under: Collaria oculata
Lineage: Eukaryota; Metazoa; Arthropoda; Insecta; Hemiptera; Miridae
Description: partial small subunit ribosomal RNA
Rfam family: Bacterial large subunit ribosomal RNA
Source: RNAcentral